GACGAACGCUGGCGGCGUGCUUAACACAUGCAAGUCGAACGGAAAGGCCCUGCUUUUGUGGGGUGCUCUAGUGGCGAACGGGUGAGUAACACGUGAGUAACCUGCCCUUUACUUUGUGAUAACUUCAGGAAACUGGGGCUAAUACCGGAUAGGAGCUCCUGCUGCAUGGUGGGGGUUGGAAAGUUUCGGCGGUUGGGGAUGGACUCGCGGCUUAUCAGCUUGUUGGUGGGGUAGUGGCUUACCAAGGCUUUGACGGGUAGCCGGCCUGAGAGGGUGACCGGCCACAUUGGGACUGAGAUACGGCCCAGACUCCUACGGGAGGCAGCAGUGGGGAAUAUUGCACAGUGGGCGGGAGCCUGAUGCAGCAACGCCGCGUGCGGGAUGACGGCCUUCGGGUUGUAAACCGCUUUCGCCUGUGACGAAGCGUGAGUGACGGUAAUGGGUAAAGAAGCACCGGCUAACUACGUG
This 468-nucleotide ribosomal RNA is filed under the name uncultured bacterium. RNAcentral describes it as "partial 16S ribosomal RNA". It matches the Rfam family "Bacterial small subunit ribosomal RNA", at positions 28 to 507 of the family's 1533-position model. The record is from RNAcentral.